Molecule: ribosomal RNA, 497 nt
Filed under: uncultured bacterium
Lineage: Bacteria
Description: partial 16S ribosomal RNA
Rfam family: Bacterial small subunit ribosomal RNA
Source: RNAcentral
GAUGAACGCUGGCGGCGUGCCUAAUACAUGCAAGUCGAGCGAACAGACGAGGAGCUUGCUCCUCUGACGUUAGCGGCGGACGGGUGAGUAACACGUGGAUAACCUACCUAUAAGACUGGGAUAACUUCGGGAAACUGGCGCUAAUACCGGAUAAUCUCUUGAACCGCAUUGUUCAAUAGUGAAAGACGGUUUUGCUGUCACUUAUCGAUGGAUCCGCGCCGCAUUAGCUAGUUGGUAAGGUAACGGCUUACCAAGGCGACGAUGCGUAGCCGACCUGAGAGGGUGAUAGGCCACACUGGAAGGGAGACACGGUCCAGACGCCUAAGGGAGGCAGCAGUAGGGAAUCUUCCGCAAUGGGCGAAAGCCUGACGGAGCAAGGCCGCGUGAGUGAUGAAGGUCUUCGGAGCGUAAAACUCUGUUAUUAGGGAAGAACAAAUGUGGAAGUAACUAUGCACGUAUUGACGGUACCUAAUCAGAAAGCCACGGCUAACUACGUG